Molecule: transfer RNA, 66 nt
Filed under: Neorossia caroli
Lineage: Eukaryota; Metazoa; Mollusca; Cephalopoda; Sepiida; Sepiolidae
Description: tRNA-Asn
Source: RNAcentral
CAGCGGAAAGCCAAAUUAGCGGCAUUUAGCUGUUAAUUAAAAAAUUGUAAUCUAUUACUUCGCUGG